AUUGAACGCUGGCGGCAGGCCUAACACAUGCAAGUCGAGCGGAUGAAGGGAGCUUGCUCCUGGAUUCAGCGGCGGACGGGUGAGUAAUGCCUAGGAAUCUGCCUGGUAUUGGGGGAUAACGUCCGGAAACGGGCGCUAAUACCGCAUACGUCCUGAGGGUGAAAGUGUGGGAUCUUCGGACCUCACGCUAUCAGAUGAGCCUAGGUCGGAUUAGCUAGUUGGUGGGGUAAAGGCCUACCAAGGCGACGAUCCGUAACUGGUCUGAGAGGAUGAUCAGUCACACUGGAACUGAGACACGGUCCAGACUCCUACGGGAGGCAGCAGUGGGGAAUAUUGGACAAUGGGCGAAAGCCUGAUCCAGCCAUGCCGCGUGUGUGAAGAAGGUCUUCGGAUUGUAAAGCACUUUAAGUUGGGAGGAAGGGCAGUAAGUUAAUACCCUGCUGUUUUGACGUUACCAACAGAAUAAGCACCGGCUAACUUCGUG
This 484-nucleotide ribosomal RNA is filed under the name uncultured bacterium. Its description in RNAcentral is "partial 16S ribosomal RNA". It matches the Rfam family "Bacterial small subunit ribosomal RNA", at positions 30 to 507 of the family's 1533-position model. The record is from RNAcentral.